Drosophila miranda is the source of this 277-nucleotide long non-coding RNA. RefSeq lists it as uncharacterized. The transcript has 3 exons. NCBI's taxonomy places the organism in Eukaryota, Metazoa, Arthropoda, Insecta, Diptera, Drosophilidae. The record is from RefSeq and is a predicted model, not a curated record.
GAAGCAGGAGCAGGAGGUUCGGGAGGAUCCGGACUUAAACAUGUUUACUGAAGACAUUUUUAGUACUGAAAGUGGAAAGGACAAUUUGAAAACACCGAUUUCCCCUAAGGCUUCGCCCCCCGUGCAUGGCAGCAAGUGCAAACUAUGCGGCAAAAUGAUUGGCAGGUUGAGCACCUUGGGAAACCACGUAAUGAACCAACAUUACACAGCAAUAAGAGGAAAAAAAAAGUGACCGUGUUAAGACUAUCAGAGGAAACUGGGGUGCCGGCCGAGUAUU